This 75-nucleotide transfer RNA is filed under the name Vibrio phage vB_ValS_X1. RNAcentral describes it as "tRNA-Thr". It matches the Rfam family "tRNA". From Rfam's summary of the family: Transfer RNA (tRNA) molecules are approximately 80 nucleotides in length. Their secondary structure includes four short double-helical elements and three loops (D, anti-codon, and T loops). The record is from RNAcentral. Lineage: Duplodnaviria; Heunggongvirae; Uroviricota; Caudoviricetes; Demerecviridae.
GCCUUCAAAGCAUUGCUGGCGAUGCACUGGAUUUGUAACCCAGUGAAUUCGGUUCGAUUCCGGAUGAGGGCACCA